GAAGCGAGGCUGUGAAGCGGAGCAAAUCUCAAAAACCGGUACCCAGUUCGGAUUGUAGGCUGCAACUCGCCUACAUGAAGUCGGAGUUGCUAGUAAUCGCGGAUCAGAAUGCCGCGGUGAAUACGUUCCCGGGCCUUGUACACACCGCCCGUCACACCAUGGGAGUCGGUAACACCCGAAGCCGAUAGUCUAACGAAAGAGGACGUCGUCGAAGGUGGGAUUGAUGACUGGGGUGAAGUCGUAACAAGGUACC
RNAcentral lists this ribosomal RNA (253 nucleotides) under uncultured bacterium. RNAcentral's name for it is "partial 16S ribosomal RNA". It matches the Rfam family "Bacterial small subunit ribosomal RNA", at positions 1246 to 1500 of the family's 1533-position model. The record is from RNAcentral.